This is a long non-coding RNA of Haemorhous mexicanus (house finch), 9535 nucleotides long. RefSeq lists it as uncharacterized. The transcript has 8 exons. The record is from RefSeq and is a predicted model, not a curated record. NCBI's taxonomy places the organism in Eukaryota, Metazoa, Chordata, Aves, Passeriformes, Fringillidae.
AGAGACAGAAAUGGGUGGAGAAUCACAGCAGAAGUGGUGGAUGCUCAUCAGUUGCAAAGCUGUGACUCUACCCAGAAAACAGCAUGAGACAUUGAAGUGUCAUUCCUACCUCACCUGUGAGAUCCAGGUGGCUGUGUGCCUGCCCUGCUCUGGUAUGUGGGUACCUCCCCCAGAGGCUCCUGGAUCCUCCGUGCACCGAGCAGUGAUGUGCCUGCUGCAUUUGGCUGGGAGCUUUGGAAGCAAAGAUGGUUGUGACUUUAGCAUGGUUGCCAAAGUGUUCAUAGGUUUUAAUGCUCUUCAACAAGAAAUCAUCUGGUCCUUCCUGUAGUGGCUCAGGAAGCCUGCUUGGAACAACAGCGGAGAUGAGCAGCUGACCGAGGAAUGACCCACGUGAGCAGCGGCAGCGGCAUCCAAAGGAGCCUGAGUCAUUUCCCCCGUGGAAAGCCGGAGUCAGCAUUUCAGCAUUUCCACAGGGCUCCUCACACGGACGUGGGAACCGGCAGAAGGGCGAGAUUCCCCAAAUCCAGGCUGGCAUCCAAGGCUGGAGCUCAGCACCAGCACCACGGUGCCAACCCCAGAGCCCUAGGGGUGCCCAGAGCCCCAGGAUCCAGCACGGAGCUGGAAGCAGUUAAGCAGCUGUACCUCGGGGUACCUGAAAUUAGGCCCAUAAGGGCAGGCCUGGAGAAAUGUUUUAGAAAAGAGCAGCGACGUUCUCAAAAGAGCCAGGAUGUCAAAAUUCACUUUUGAAAAUCUCCCCAGGAAUCCCAUCUAUCUGCCUUUUUAGUCACUUUGAAGGUUGGUGAUUAAAUCCAUACUUACAGUGUGAUUCUCCCACACAUGGGGAGCAAUGGGAGCUUUGUCAUCACCACUAAUGGGGACAGGAUUGUGAGGAAUGAAAUAUGCAAGGAGUAUGUGAGGGGAAAAAAACAGGCUUGAAAAUCAUCAAAUGAAAGAGCCAGCGGAGUUUUUAAUUUUUUAUUCAUGCUUUAAUUACUGAAAAUGAUAGAAGCACUUUGCCAUUUUUUAAAAAUGGUUACGUUUUAAAAUGUCUGGGGUUGUUUGUUUGUUUCUUUUGGGAAUGCCUUACAAUAACCAAGAGAUAUAAAUCAACCCAUGGUUUUGCUUUUCUUUUCUUCUGCAGCCACAGCUUAAACAACCAAACAGCAGGGCAGCUUCUCAGCAGCCUGGCUCCACCCCGAGUGCUCUGGGAAGGUUGGAGUGGGGCUGCAGCACAUGCCAGCUUUGCCCUGAUGGAGUUCUCCCACAACAUUCAUGCCCUCCUGGUUGGGGUGCCCACAGAGCCUCCUAAGGAGGCUGAUUUCUCUUUGCUAAACUUUUGAGACCUUUCCUGCCUUGUUUCACAAAAAUGAGGGGUGCUGAAAUUGGAAGGACAGCCCAAUUUUUGUGAUUAUUCUGAGUGAAAUGCUUACUCUACUUUAACAGCUCUGUAAGACUUAGCUAAAAAAAUGUAUCAGGUCAUGCAGGCAGACAUUUUUCCACUUUCAUAUCUCUCUGUACCUUCCCUCUCCCCCUUCCCCUGUCCCAUAUAAGCAUCAGAUUUUAAUCUGCUUCUGUCUCUUUAGGGGUGUGAGCCCACAGUGUCCCAGGUCCCCAGGGAAGGAAGCCCUGGAGCCAUGCCCAAACCUCACCAAAGCAGCUGCCUUGGGUGGUGCAGCUGUGCUGGGUGGGAGGCUGGUGUGGGCCAGAUGCUUUAGGGACACUUACUUGGAGUUUGGGACAAAACCCUCGAGGAUGUCACAGUUUUCUAGCCUCUGCUGCCCACAGGGACUGUCAGUCUGGUUUCUCUCAUGGACCCUCAAAAAUGGUUUUGCUCAAUCUACGAGGCACAGAGAACCAACGAGCUGUCAGGUGGGAACAUCCACAUCAUCCCCCAAGGACCACUGAAGAGGGCCAAAGCCAUGGAACCUAUCACUGGACUCUUCAUUCACUCCUUUCUUUUUAAAAUAUUCCCUCCAUGGGCAAACAACUCCCUGGCAUUGCUAGCCAGUGACAUGUGACCCUGCCUGUCACAGAGCCCUGUGUUUUAUGCCAUGGGGCAAGAGCAAAUGGCCAGAGGAAGCCAAGGCAGGAGCAGGUCACAGCUCCCUGGGCAGCUGAGCUCCUGGAGGAAUCUCCUGCUGUCUUGUUUGCUCUCUCUUCAGUGUUUCAGCUCUCUGUUUUGCAGAACUGCAGAAUUUCUGUAGAAUGCAAAGAGCAGCUCCUCUGUGUCUCACAGGCAUACUGUGAGGAUAAAUGUAUUAAAGAUGUGCAGAUGUCAGAGUCCACAUCAGGGCAAAAACAUCUCAGGGAAGAUAAAUACGCCUGUAGACACCAAGUAGUCUCUUUCUUUGAUGCUUUAAUGCUUUUAUGGUCAAUAAAGAAACCCUGAGUUUCACAAAGGCUGUCUGACAGUUCUAAUAUUAGCAUCCUCACCACAUCCUUGAUGAUGCCUGUUUGUAUCUCUGUGUGAUGCUGAUGUUGUUGGUAACAUUUUCAUGUAGUCUAAACCAAAGUACAAACCUGGUUUGUGCUUGACAGUGAAUUGGUUUGCAAAAAUGAAGCAAAACACAGUUCAAUCAUUUGCAAAUGUGAGGAGAGGAUGAUUACAUUAAUAUUUCUGUAUUACAUGAAAAGAUGUCUAAGUUGCUUCUUCAUAGGAAGAAUAAUAACUUAGUAAAGGAGUAAAUGUAAUUCAGCAGAAACAGCAGUGGAUAUUUGCAUUUCCCUUGGCUUUAGUUCAACCAAGUCAAGAGCUUUUUGUGAUAAAUUCAGUGAAGAGAGAGAGACCAAGCUGCAGGGAGGCUGUGCCAGUAGCUGCAGUCCCAAGGCAGCUCCUGCUGGGAGCUGCUCCCACCCCAUCACACACGGGAGCAGGAGUGCAGCCUCGACCUGACAGAGGUUACACCCCCUCAGCGUGGCCAAAUUCAUCUAUACUGGAGCAGGAGAGAUUGUGCCAUCAAUCACCUGCACCAGGGAUGAAGUUAAGCUGCUUGCUCAACUUCCCUUUUCUCCUUCCUUGCUGGUGGAGCCUUACCCACCCAAUCACAGGUGCCUCAAAGGAGGGUUUGUGUGGGUUCUUUUUUUUUUUCUUCCCUGGAACAUUUGACUAAAUCACAUUUGCAGAUAUUUCAAAUGUUUCAUUCACGUGACACCUGAGCUUUAUUUACUUUUGAAAUAAGUCAUCUCAUUAACAGAAUUCAUUAUCCAUUAUUACUGUCAUGUCAUUCUCCUAAUAAAAGGAAUGUCUGUAGAAGCAUUCAGUGGCUUAGCUGGUAGCAUAGUGAGCUAUUAUGCAGCAAACCUGCAUUCACACUGUACAUUGGUAUGCCAAGGCUGGCAGAGACUAGGAGCAUCAAUGAGGUAAUAGUCUUAAUCUCUGAGGGGAGGAUUAUGUUGUGCUGCACUGCAAAUGCCUCCUACUGUUAGCAGGAUAAUACUUCAGAUGGAGCUAUAAAUUGUUCAACAAAUAAGGACAGGUGCUGGGAAGAGGGUGAAAAAACACCUUCAAUGUUCCACCAUUAUCUCCAGAUAAGAGGUGGAAAAACUGUUGUUCUCACUGCUAAACUAUUAUCACUCUUUCUCCAUUUAAAUUACCAGCGUGGCAUGGCCAGCCACUCAAAAGUGAAGUGCACUGAUAGUAGUUGGGUCUCUUCUUCCCAGAAAUGCUGUUUGCUUUUGUGACUGAACUAAUGCUGGCUGUGGAUACGUGUGGCACGAAGUGAUCACGGGCAGGCUGCCCCAGAAACACUGUCCCACCUCCCUGUGUGAGUUCCCUUUUCCAGACAGUCCUACUGCACAUCUGAGCCUGGACAGACCGUGCUCCUCACUCUUUCCUGCUCAGAGAAAGAGUUAGGAUUCAUUACUGUUCAUGGCAUCACAGCUUGUAGCUGUUCUCUUUAUGGAACCAAGUUUUAUAGAUCUGAUACUCUGGUUUCACCUUAACUGACCCCUAACAGCAGAACUUAGAAUGAGAAAGGGAUUUCUCCUUUAUAAGUGGUAAUAAAAAAGUUGGCACAAUUUCCAGACCAUCUUUUGCAAUAGGAGGUCAGUGAAUAUCACAAAGCUGGGAAAAUUGUAUUAUUCCCACUUUACAGAGGAUAGAUUUGAGAUAUACACCAAAAAGUACUCAACCUGUGCUUUUGCUGGGGUAAACUUUGUCCAGUGGUCCCUGGAAAAUGCUGCUUUAUCACAGGAUAGCAGAAGAGCACUUAAUGGCAAUGUACAGAUCAGCAGUUCAGGCUGAACUUAAGCAGAGCUUUGCUCCUAAACAAAUGUUGCCUUUUUCAGGUAGCAGUGAUUUACCACAGUCCCAGCACUUGUCUCUACUCUUAUCCUGUUGUUCUUCCCACUGCUGGAAUUUGCUCUUGAUCCAAAGCCUCACCCAGCCACACAACAAACCAGAGGUGAAUUCAGAGUGGGAAGCAAUGCCUUCAGUCUCCCAGUGCCAGGGAACUGCUUUCUGCAGGACAGACCAGAGCCUGAGCUUCACUGCCUGCUCUGAAUCUGCUUCAGAGAUGGAAAAAGUCCUCAUGGGUGCCUGAUGUCGCCAGAGCUGCAGGAUCCCAGCUCUGCAGAACAAAGAACAUAUAAUAAUUAUUGGUCCUGGAAACUUAAAUAUAGAAUAUGCUGUAAUCCUGUGUUCAUUAUGACUUGAGGGACUGGUAAUAAUAAUGAGGCAUUACGCAGCCCUAAGGAGCUUCAUAUCUAGAAGAAGAGCUGGAUUUCAAAAAAGGGCUUUGGUGUGCAAGAACAUGAGAAGGGCCUGUAUUUUGCUUUCUACUUGUUUGUUGGUACUCCGGGGUAGAAAAAGUGCCUGAAAAUCAUUAAGAACUGAACAAACUGAAGUUAAAAGCUUUGAUCAUGGAGUGGAAACAGGAAGCAGGGCUGCUUUAGCAAGCUUGGCUGCUGUGACUCCUCUCACCAGGAUGCCAGCUGGAGUAGCACAGGUCACAGAACCCACCAGGCAGCAUAAAUAUUCUGUUUCCAGAACCUUCCAGAUUCCUGACAACUUUUGGAUUCGGCACUGAUAAGUGACCAGGACUGACAUGACAUCUUACAGAAAUGACACUGCUCCUGCAGCAAGGGGCUCUUGGAGAAACACUCUGUGAAGAUAAGGGUGGAAAAGUCAAGAGGAUGAGAAAAGCAUCCCAAAGGAGCCCAUGAAUUGAGGGAAAGGUAAUAGCUGGAUUAAUGUUCAACUGCUUCAUUUUGGGGUUUGCCGUGAAUAAUUAAGUGUAAUUAAUAAAUAGUGCCCUGAAGAUAGGAUCAAACAGACUUUGGGUGUGGUGCUUAAUCCUUCCUGAGUUGGAGAGCAAGGCCAGCAGCCCAUAAUGGAUUUAACUAAUUCUCUUAAUUGCAGCUUCAUUUGCCUGAUCUUUCUAAAUGGCAUUAAUCUAGAUUUGCAGAAUAAGCACUUGGAAAAGACUUACCAAAAUCACGGUAGGAUCUCAAAGAUACAUUUCUCUUCUUAGGUUUUCUUCAGUGAGAGAAGAGAUUUCAUUGUCAAUGCAAAUUCUAUUAAUUUGGCUAAGUGUUCACAGUCUUUGUUGGCAUAAAAUAAGAAUUUAAAAUGUCAUUAGCAAAUUCAACCCUUAGAAUCAACAUUGGAAAUGACAAAUUCUGCAAGACUGCUAAUUAGUUAUUUACAGAUUAAAUACUUCUAAAAGGCAAAACUGCAGCAUUUGACUCUCAUUUCUGCACUGGGUACUGAAGCAUUGCACAGAUUUCUGUGUCUCACAGAAGGAAACACAUCCCACGUGCUGACAACCACACUGGGAGACAAGAUAAUCACAUUCCUUUAUCACCCUUUGCCUGGACAACAACAAAUCUGCAAGAGAGACCUUUAGCUCUGAGCAAAUUCCAGCCAAAAGCAGUUAUAGUCAUAUCCUCAGGUUUUCCAGAUCUGAUCUGCCCUCUGCUCCCACCACACUCCACCACUCAGGUGUUCAGCUCCCUUCUCUACAGAGCUCACUAUGAUGACUAAAACAAUUAACAAAACCUAGAGAUGCAGAGUUUAAAUCCACUGCCAACAGUUUCUCUCCUUGGGCACAACAGAAAAUUUCUUCUCUGACAGUGUUUUUUUGGAGAAAAAGGAAUAAAUUGCAGCACAUAUGGAAAAAUGUGAAGCCGUGUGAAUGGCUUUGACUUGCCAGAGGUGACCAGCUGUGCCAGUUUUGACUCUUGACCCAUUUUGAGUUUGAUUUCCUACCUAAGUCCUGCAGAUGUAACUGCUGUCAUUCUUGCCUGAAAUCAAGACCAUGUCAUUGGUGUUAUUACCCAUGAAAAUAAAUGCCAAAAUUCCCACUGGCUCAGUGGUACAACAUCUGCCAACUGAGUCCAGUUCUGCUCAUGGCAAGGAUUCUUCUGUCUUUUAAUUACAGACUGAACAAAAUAUAUAUAAAACAAAAUCAAACACGAGCAACAUGGACUGUCCAACCAUACACACCACUGUGUAAUGUUUAAUGUAGGUGCACACCACUCAUCUUUUCCCUCCCUAUGAUUUGCUGCCUCUGUUGCUGUGUUUUGCCUUAAGCUGGGCUGUAAACUAUUAGGAAAAAUUUGGUUUUUUCCCCUGUGUUUGUGCAGCAAUGAACACUGAAAAUCCAAGGGAUUGUCACCCCACUGUACUAUUAAUGAUUGAGACCAGUAAUUAUUUGAUUCUCAUUAUGAAAUCAAAGAAAUACCACUGCUUCAAAGCUACACAUGUUGCAAGUAGCCAAGUGCAUGUGAUAUCCACGGCCCUUUUGCUGCUCUUAGCUAGCCACUAACUCACUUAAUUUUGUGUAGUUUAGCACAUUACAAGAUUGUUCAGGAGUGCCAUAAAUGAUGUCAGGCACCAUCAGAAACCACUUCAGAAAAUCAUUGCCUGUAGCCAGAUCAAAAGGUGAACACCUGGAAACUUGCAGUUCUGGGAAAGCAGAAUAAAUCUUUUUUCUUUCCCCCUUUUCUCUCUUUUUUUCCUUUCUCUUCCUCCUGGAGAUUUGUUUCUUUUUGCCUUAAAGAAUUUGAAAGGUUUAUUUACAGCUUUUCAAAUGACCCCUAAUCUAUUUAGAAAAACACAGCACGGCAAAUUCAUCUCGGGUGCAACUCCAUUUGUUGACUUAAGCAGAGUUGUGCCAGAAGGGAGCCUGGCCCAGGAGUUUCUCUGCAGAGAAAAACAAAGCAUUUGAAUACAACACUUAAUUGGCUCCUUGAGUCCCAUCACAGGCUGUCCUGGAAUAUAUUUAUUAAAGGUAAUUCUUUUAUUGUGGUAAGAUUGUAUCAGUAACUGAAAGUCAUGGUAUUAGUUUUAAACAUUGUCUUUUUCCUUAGGCUUCCCUGCUUGAGGCUGAUCAUUUUCACAGCACCUGACAGUGUUUAGAGAGACAUUGUAUUAUAUAGUUGAGUGAAAUCUAAGACCAUAAAUAACUGGGAAAGUUGCUUAUUUUGUCAGAUAUCAGCAAUAUAAUUGCUUACAAUCCAUCAGGGUCAACUUUCAGGAAGUAAUAUAAAAAGUUGUUUGCUGUGGAGCUGUGGAAUUCAGAGAUGUGCUGGGAGCCUCUUGCAAAGACACACAGAGUCCAUAAGUAAUAUUAAAAUGAUACUUGCUAUAUAAUUAAAAGCUAAUUGAUUUGUUUAAUCCUUCAAAUUUUCUACAUUCUUCUCUUGACCAGGUUUUUAUAUUGAUUCACUAUUUUUACAUUAAUUUGUUAUUUUUCUCAGCAAGUCCUGAAAAAGGAAUACUUUUAUGAACACAUAAACCCCAGAAAAAUAAUCUCAGGCACAAAAAGUCUAUUAAAACCUGUAGCUGCUGAUUUUCUUGCACUAAGGGUAGAGCAUGAAUCUGCCUGUAAGAGCUCUCUCCAUAUCUUGUAUAUGGAGCAGGGGCAUGGGGGGGAGUAGAAGGACACUAAAAGGAAAGGAUUGGCAAAAAGGAUAAGGAAAAGAGACUAAGGAGUGACCAGGGAGAACAUUGGUGAGGGGAAAAUAUAGAAAUAUCCUGAAAACAGAAAUCAGCAAGUGAUUGAGACAGGGCCAAAGCAGCCACAGACAACUGAUCCUCUUCCCUACUUGGCUGGUGACUGGAUAUAAUGCUCAUGGGGCAUUAAUCCUCCCUGUCCUGUCCCAAGAAACAAUCCUUAUAAGAUCCAGUGAUGAAGCCAGCAGAAAACUGCUGAACAAUUAGUGUACAUUCUGGAUGAAUCAGUUGCUUUGCUUUCAUUUGGAUGCUAAUGAUGUUGUGAUUGUGUUAGAGUAAGCUGGGUUUGGGUUUUCUCAAGUACACAAAAAAUCUGCAGUUUUAAUUAGUUUGCUAUGAACCAGCUCACUUUAAACAGUAGCAUUUAGUAGAUUGUAGAAGAUUUUCAUCCCUUUUUUCUGACUUUAAUAUACCAAUUAAGAGUUGUGCUUGCUGCACUGUUUUGGCCUUACACUGUGAUUUUGGUCAUAUAGUUUAACAAUUUAGAAGAAAAUCCUGAGGCCACAGAGCAUUUGCAAACACAGACCCAGCUGAACUGAUGGGGAGAGCACUGAGAGGGGAAUUUGCUUAAAAAAAAUAUGACCUUCCAUGUGCAAACAAACUCAUUUAUAGGAAAAGGACUAAUAAAACAGAGCCUUUUAAUGAGGCACCCAAACAAUAUUUUACAAACCAACUUCUUGCUAAAGAAGCUGUCUGGGUGUAUGCACGUGCAUUGCUGCUAAAACCAAUUACUUUACUACAUAUGCUAAUAAUACAUAUGUAUGAUUAGCAAAUACAUAUGCUAAUAAUUCAGCCAGGGUAAAAAUGUUAAAGCAAAAAAAAGGAGAGUAGCAUUUUGUAGAAUUCUGGUUUUGUUUAUCCAAGCAACUUGAAUUUAUACACCACAAGGAAGAAAAUGUUUUCUUUUUCACUUAUGAAACAACAGCAGGUAAUUUAAAAGCAACAAAUACAAAAAGUGCCAAUCCCAAGCAAUUAUUUGAAAUAAGAAUAAAUUAAAUGCCCAAAUUAUUUCUAUAUACCUAUAUAUGAUCCAGCAUCACUGGGAUUUUUAAAAUGAGAGCAAGGUCAAGCUCUGUAGCAACAAUGACAUUACAGACAUUAUUAAGAUAUAGAAUUACCAAGUCAGAUAACUUUUGGUUUUGCUCUCCUCUGUGAAACACAUUUAUAAUUCUUUCUGCAGUUCCAGGUUACAAAUGGCAAACUUAAUCUGAAGAGAAACAUUUAUAUAUUUGAUGUUAACUGCAAUAACAGUUCUAUUCAGUUAGAGCUUUUAAACCUUUUAAUAAAGCAGACACUUGACACAAAGUUUUUAUUUUAUUUUUGUAAUAGAUAUAUCCCCCAAAAGCUUGAAGUAAUAAAUCUGACUAUAGACUAAUAUUUCUCAGUAUUUGCCACAUAGUUUGUACCUAUUAGUGUUGCAUAAUAAAUAGAUGUUUAAAAUAUUUGUUCAUAGAGGUCUUUCCUUGAACUUAAGCGUAAGUUAUCUAAACAGUUGAAAAAAGAUUUAUAGUUAUGAAGAGGCCUAUAUGUCAAGCAAAGUUUUAUGAUAUAUUCCAUAAUAAAUUAGCAAUAAAUGGA